UAUUAAUAUGAAUUUUAAAAA
Molecule: non-coding RNA, 21 nt
Organism: Caenorhabditis elegans
Lineage: Eukaryota; Metazoa; Nematoda; Chromadorea; Rhabditida; Rhabditidae
Source: Ensembl